This 115-nucleotide transfer RNA is filed under the name Penicillium salamii. RNAcentral's name for it is "tRNA-Leu". It matches the Rfam family "tRNA". From Rfam's summary of the family: Transfer RNA (tRNA) molecules are approximately 80 nucleotides in length. Lineage: Eukaryota; Fungi; Ascomycota; Eurotiomycetes; Eurotiales; Aspergillaceae. The record is from RNAcentral.
UGGCAAGAUGGCCGAGUUGGUCUAAGGCGUUAGACUCAAGAAAAUCUUCUUCGCUGUAAAACAGUGAGCAUUCUAAUCUCGCAAGAGGCACGGGUUCGAAUCCCGUUCUUGUCAA